GAUGAACGCUGGCGGCGUGCCUAAUACAUGCAAGUCGAGCGAACGGACGAGAAGCUUGCUUCUCUGAUGUUAGCGGCGGACGGGUGAGUAACACGUGGAUAACCUACCUAUAAGACUGGGAUAACUUCGGGAAACCGGAGCUAAUACCGGAUGAUAUUUUGAACCGCAUGGUUCAAAAGUGAAAGACGGUCUUGCUGUCACUUAUAGAUGGAUCCGCGCUGCAUUAGCUAGUUGGUAAGGUAACGGCUUACCAAGGCAACGAUGCAUAGCCGACCUGAGAGGGUGAUCGGCCACACUGGAACUGAGACACGGUCCAGACUCCUACGGGAGGGAGCAGUAGGGAAUCUUCCGCAAUGGGCGGAAGACUGCCGGAGCAACGACGCGGGAGUGAUGAAGGUCUUCGGAUCGUAAAACUCUGUUAUUAGGGAAGAACAUAUGUGUAAGUAACUGUGCACAUCUUGACGGUACCUAAUCAGAAAGCCACGGCUAACUACGUG
RNAcentral lists this ribosomal RNA (497 nucleotides) under uncultured bacterium. RNAcentral describes it as "partial 16S ribosomal RNA". It matches the Rfam family "Bacterial small subunit ribosomal RNA", at positions 28 to 507 of the family's 1533-position model. The record is from RNAcentral.